CCAUCCCAUUUUUGGGAUCAUUGAUCUGGUUUGGUUUGUUUUGUGCCUGGGGUGGUUGCUGUCCCUGCCCCACCCCCAUCCUCCUUGGCUCUGGGGCUGUCGCAAUGAAUGGAAGCUGAGCUGGGGUUUCUGUGGGGAGUUGAGGGCAGGCUGAGAGACAGUCUGCUCUCUUCCGUGGGUGGUUCAAUGGGACAUGCAUGGCCAGUAUCUCUAACCAGGGAUCCUGCUGUUUCUGUGGGUUUUGCCUGCUUCUCUUUGGUUUUGUUUGGCUUUGGCACUGUGACUGAACUUGCCCGCUGGGCUUCUUUUGCUGCUCUGAUGUCAGGAAGCCCAGAGCCAGUGCAUGCCCUGCCAGGACCUGGGACCACCUUCGUUUCCCGCUGGACGGCUGCCCCCACCCUUCACACAGCCAGGAUCCGAAGAAUGAGGCAGCACCGGCGAGAACAUCCCAAAGAGCCUUUUACGGCGUUCAGGAGCUGGAUUGUUACUGCCCAGCCCCCACCGUACCUCUGCCAUAGCUCCACGCUUCUGCUACACUGCAGUUUUUCACCCUUUGCCUUCCAGGAGGUCCUGCCCUUGCAGCUUGCUGCUUCCAAGAGUCCUGCUGGGGCACUGGAAUUGGAUGAAUCUGCGGGGUUUGUAAAUCAGGCCCUUUUUCCAUCCCUUUCUGUCUCGGUCAAGCCGCCAUUAUCAUGUGAUCCCUGAAUUCGCACUGGAGCGCCCCCUGCAGCCGCAGGGGAAUCAUCGCACCCACCCUGCCCACCAGGAGUCACCAGCACGCUGUGUCUGUGGCCAUAAAACACCAAAGGGGAAAUUGCCUGCCGCCGAGAGAAGGCUGUUACUGGGCUUCUGGUACAGUAUUUCCACUAAAAUCAGUUGGACAAAGCCUGGUAUAUCUUGAGAAUUUAUAAUGCCCUUUCCAACACAAGUUUUGAGACUCAAAAUAAGAUUUGGGUAAAGACAGAAGCGGAGGUGCCUGGAUUUUCCUACCUGACCUGAGCAUAUAUUAAUCCAUCAGAUUCUAUGCUUUUCAAGGUGACCUUCACCACCAAGAAGAUCAGCUGGAGAGGAUCAAUGGAACAUCAUUGGGAUCCAUGGAGUGGAUAGUUAUUUCCCUGUUAUUUCCCUGUCCCUGUUACUCUCUGUCUACCCCCCCACACCUAUUUUCUAUUUCUUUCUCCCUCACUCUCUCUCCCAUAUUUAAUAAAAUCCAUACGAUUGUCUUUUGCUUUUGUAAAUUAUUUUGAUGUAGUACAGUUUGUAAUCUCUUUUGAUAUAGUAUCAUUUGUCAGCCUCUUAUGGUUAAUACCCUAAUAUCUGUGUCGAUUGUAUAUCUUAGUGUUGUAAAUAUAUAUUAUAGUUUAGGCUUUCACAAAAUAUUAAAAUAGAGGAUGUGUACUGUCUACUAUAACAUUGACUUUUAGAGAAGUAAUGGCAGUUGUGGAAUAAUAACUAAUGCCUUUAUUUUUGUAACCAUCUGACAAUAGUGAAAUAGCUAAUGUUGAUUGAAAGUACUUGUAAAAAUGGCUAGCUGUAUGAUAAGAUAACAUUGAAAAGAACCAGAGAAAUAACAUUGAAAGCACAAGAAAGAAUCUACUACUGACCCUUCGGCUAUCAAUAACUGUCAAACCACAGACCAGGGGCCCUUGUGAGGAAAUAAAAUACAAGACUCUCAGAAUCACAUCUGCAUUGUGGCACAUACUCUAAGAUGAAGUCAGGGGGGUCUAAUGAAGAUUAAAAUUCUCAGAACAUGUAAACUCAAAGGAAUGUCUGAAUAUGUAUAAUCUUCAUUAAUACACAUUUGACCCAUGCAAUAAGAAAGCAUAUAUGAAGAGUUGUUGUAGUUAAUGGUAUGCUUCUGCAGUUUGCCGGGCACCACAGUGCUGGAUGCUGUUUCUUUUUUCCCUUGUUAAACUUAAAAAUUCUAAAGAGUGAGCUUUGUUUCUCACUGGGCUGAUAGUAUUGCCUAUUUAUAGCACUUAGCAUACAUUUCUUUAAUUCCUGUAAUUUUCUUAUGUUAUGUAUCACUAACAAAGUGUUCCUCAAUCAGCUAAGAAGGCAAAAGGGCAACAGAUUGGAAGAGUAACCAGAUAUACAGUCACGCUCUGCAUUCAAAGCUGGAGGGGGAAAAAAGGACGGAAGAUACUGGGAGUUAUGGACUUUGUCUUCCCAAGUAACUGCUAUGCAUGAUGAAGUCUUAAUUUGCAAGCAAAGGCUAAAUGUAUGUCUGUUGAUGGGAAGCACUUAACUAAAUUUUUUGUUCUGCUUUAGCACACAGGUUUUGCUUUACCUAUUAAAACAUCCAAUCUCAAGCCAUGAGCUUUCCUACUUUUAUACUCUCACCGUGGGGGAGUGAGUGAGUGUCUGUAUGGGGCUCAACUGUGUGUCAGAGUUAACCCAUAACAGCUGGGCUAGCAAUGUGGCGCUCCUAGAUAAAUGUAUGUUGCAGUCCUUAAACAAUUUACAUUGUCUCUACUUUGGACUACACUACCUUCCAUAAAUCUAAAUAUGCUUUACGAGAUGAAAUAAAAUCAUGAGGAUGUAGAUUUGUUCAGUCUCACGUGCAUAACACAUUUUGAUGCUUUAUUUUCAGGCUUAACCCUCAUUUGAAAGGUUUGGAUCUGGGCCUGGAGAAUCAUGAGCUAUCAAUAAUGUCAAAAAAGGCUCAACUGAGUCACUCUACAGGCUUUCAAAUAGACAACAUUGUCUUUGGAGUAGGCGCAAGAUGUUGGCUACAGGAGGGCUGCAACGGCAGAGAGGUACUGUGCUGACAUGGGCCAGUUCCAGCAAGCUUCAGUGAGACCCAUCACAGACCAGAGAAGACUCUACCCGUAACAUUUGAGAUGCAUUUGUGAAAAUGUAUGUAAGAAAAGACAGAAAACAUCAGGGUCAGAGAAAGAGGAGAGGGUGGAGGAGAUGCUUCUGGUGACAGAGUAACUAUUCCCUACAGUCCAUGCAUGAAGACCUGCACUGGUGCAGAUAGUCACUGCCAUCCAUGGACAACACCCUGCUGGAGCAAAUGGAUAUUACUGCAGGAACUGCAGCCAGCAUAGAACUCAUAUCACAGCAUAUUUUCUUGACAGGAACUGCAGCCUAAAGGAACCCUCUCAGUGUUGCAGGGGUAAAGUGUGAGGAGGAAGGAGUAAGACUGCAGCACACCAUUUCUCAUCUGCCUGCACCACUUGAAGAGGGGCAAGGGGUCUAGCAUAAAACUAGAGUGAAGAAGUGAUACUGUGUCUGUGAAGGGAGGUAAGAAAAUGUGUUAUUUUAAAGUUUGUCCCUAUUUCCCGUUACUCCAACUAGUGAUUAUGUUUUUAUUUUAAUUGGCAAUUCAUUAAGUUAUUUUACUCACAAUAAGUCUUUUUUCCCCACAUAACUGACUGGUAAGCAAUCUCUCUGUCUUUAUACAUGCCCUCAAGCUUUCUCAUAUCUGCUCUUUUUAUUUUCUGCCCCAUCCUGGGGAAGAGACAGGGGAUCAGCAAACAGCUGGCUAGAAUUUUGCCCAUUAGCUGAGGCUAAGCCACAAUAUGAAGUCAUAAGAAUGUUUGGCUUCACUUAGAUGUUUGCAAAAUAUUUUUUCUGCUCUUAAUAAGAGAAAAUCAUACUGGGCUACUCUGUAGAUUAAAACUUCAGUCCUUGUUAUCAUUAUAGUCACUCCUCUGAAAUAUAAUAACUAAAUAAAUAAACAUACUGUUACCAAAAAUUUAUAUUUCUAUAAAAAGGGCCCUAUUCAGCAGUGGGGAAAAAUGUUUGGAAUUAAACAAAGAAGGGUGAUUCAUUCCAUGAAACAGAUAGCAGUUAACAAGAAAGCUCUGGGUGAUAUCCAUGUGUUAGAAAAAUGUUUAGGGUCUGUCAUGCUUCAGUGCUCUCAGACCUGGGAUGGGAAAUGGGAAAAACACAAAUCACCUGUAUUUUCACCCCAUGUGGUCCUGCUACAAUGCAUUUUUCACAGUUCUAAUUCUCUAAAAUAUCUGGUCUUUUUGCAAGGCCAUAUUUUGAAACUUGCUGAAACUUGUUUCUAGUUCAAUCUCUCCCUCAACAAUGUCAUCUCUAUUCCAUGGUCUUCCUAAGUCAGCACACCUUAUCUCAGUGUUUGCGUACAAGACUAUGUGAGCUUUCUGAUAGGUUCUGAGAAUUCCUUACAAGUCCAUUUCUCACAUCACAUAACUUGUUAGCCAAUGAACACUAAUUCCUUUGUUUGCUAAAAUUUAUAAAUAGUUAAAAGCUUUGGUAACUGAUGUACAUAAUUUGUGGAGGGAUCCCCAUAUAG
This is a non-coding RNA of Zonotrichia albicollis (white-throated sparrow), 4270 nucleotides long. NCBI's taxonomy places the organism in Eukaryota, Metazoa, Chordata, Aves, Passeriformes, Passerellidae. The record is from RefSeq and is a predicted model, not a curated record.